RNAcentral lists this ribosomal RNA (497 nucleotides) under uncultured bacterium. Its description in RNAcentral is "partial 16S ribosomal RNA". It matches the Rfam family "Bacterial small subunit ribosomal RNA", at positions 28 to 507 of the family's 1533-position model. The record is from RNAcentral.
GAUGAACGCUGGCGGCGUGCCUAACACAUGCAAGUCGAACGAACACACAAGGAGCUUUUUCUUCUACCGUUAGCGGCGGGCGGGCGAGUGAGACGUGCAUCAUCCACCUCUUUUACUUGGAUAAUAACGGGGAACUGCGGCCACUACUGGCGCAUAUAAUGUACCGGAUGGAUCAAGAGUGAUAGUCGCUUUUUGCGUCUCCUUUAGAUGGUUCCGCGUCGCAUUAGCUUGUUGGCAAGGUAACGGCUUACCAACGCCACGAUGCUUAUCUGGCCUGAGGGGGUGAUCAGCCACACUGGAACUGAGACACGGUCCAGACUCCUACGGGAGGCAGCAGUAGGGAAUCUUCCGCAAUGGGCGAAAGCCUGACGGAGCAAUACCGCGUGAGUGAUGAAGGUCUUCGGAUCGUAAAACUCUGUUAUUAGGGAAGAACAAAUGUUUAAGAAACUAGGGACGUCUUGACGGUACCUAAUCAGAAAGCCCCGGCUAACUACGUG